CAGUCGUACCUGCGGAUAAUCAGCUUUUUGAGUGUGAUUAUGUGGUUUAUGAGGAGUUUAACCGCCUUCAUGUAUUGCAUAUUUGUGCUCUUGGGUGUACUUGCCCGUGUGGUUGGUUAACAUCAAUUUUGGUGGUCAUAAAAUGACUGGAGGAAUGUAGCUUUGGUCUCGUAUCGAAGUGUUAUAGACUCUGGUAGAUGUGACGAUUGGGAUUGAGGAUUGCAACGGAUACCCCUUUGGGGCUACCCGUCUGAUCUCUGAAGGUUGCUCCGGUG
This 275-nucleotide ribosomal RNA is filed under the name Glomus sp. (unid). Lineage: Eukaryota; Fungi; Glomeromycota; Glomeromycetes; Glomerales; Glomeraceae. The record is from RNAcentral.